This 303-nucleotide ribosomal RNA is filed under the name uncultured bacterium. RNAcentral describes it as "partial 16S ribosomal RNA". It matches the Rfam family "Bacterial small subunit ribosomal RNA", at positions 507 to 809 of the family's 1533-position model. The record is from RNAcentral.
AGCAGUCGCCGCGGUAAUACGUAGGGUGCAAGCGUUAAUCGGAAUUACUGGGCGUAAAGCGUGCGCAGGCGGUUAUAUAAGACAGAUGUGAAAUCCCCGGGCUCAACCUGGGAACUGCAUUUGUGACUGUAUAGCUAGAGUACGGCAGAGGGGGAUGGAAUUCCGCGUGUAGCAGUGAAAUGCGUAGAUAUGCGGAGGAACACCGAUGGCGAAGGCAAUCCCCUGGGCCUGUACUGACGCUCAUGCACGAAAGCGUGGGGAGCAAACAGGAUUAGAUACCCCGGUAGUCCCUGUCUUCUUAUA